CAUUUGUUAGCUCCCGACCCACUAAAUUUUCCGAAUAUCACAAGUUAUUUGUCCAGAAUGGUUCGCAUAUAAAAAUGAAGCUAUCAAUCCCAACUAGAUAUCCCGGGUACACAGAGUUCUAAAAUAAUGGAGUCAAACCAGUCAUCCACAUGUCACUUAGUUUUAGUUUAACUAACCCACUCAUUUUAUUAUUAUUAUUAUUAUUAUUA
Molecule: long non-coding RNA, 209 nt
Filed under: Phoenix dactylifera (date palm)
Lineage: Eukaryota; Viridiplantae; Streptophyta; Magnoliopsida; Arecales; Arecaceae
Description: long non-coding RNA (PDAC_LNC010817)
Source: RNAcentral